Non-coding RNA from Parasteatoda tepidariorum (common house spider), 351 nucleotides. NCBI's taxonomy places the organism in Eukaryota, Metazoa, Arthropoda, Arachnida, Araneae, Theridiidae. The record is from RefSeq and is a predicted model, not a curated record.
AAAACUUUUUGUAUCCUUUUGUGAAAUGAACGAAUUUGUUAUUGGUGGAAGUUAGUUAGAACACAAAGAUAUUCACUGGGUAUCACCUGGGAAUGGAUUGCACAGGAAACAAAUAGACCACACUGAAAGCAGAAGAAAAUUCUUCGUCCCAAUGAAAGAUGUUUUAGAGUGAGGAGACCAGUGCAAAUUUCUUAUUUUGUCUUAUUUGAAAUUAAUGCUUAGAAUACACCCAAAAGUUAAAAGAAGAAUGAACUUCGACACAGUCAAAUUUGACAAGGCGAUCGAAUGACAAAAAUAUUUAUUUCGUAUCUUAUGUUCAUUUCUUUAACAUUAAAUAUAUCAUAACUUUGA